RNAcentral lists this unclassified non-coding RNA (2714 nucleotides) under Penaeus chinensis. RNAcentral describes it as "uncharacterized LOC125035099, transcript variant X4". The record is from RNAcentral. Lineage: Eukaryota; Metazoa; Arthropoda; Malacostraca; Decapoda; Penaeidae.
CAUUGAGUAAUACAGAGGGAUCUGGCGCCUCACUGACGUUCAGUUGGGUGCUCUCCAAGGGCGUGCCAGACGUGAUAGAGGAAUCGUCGUGUUCAUAUUGUUGUCACUUAAGCGCAAAAUAAAGAUAAGUAAACAGUUUGUUAGUAGGACCGUCUCUUACCAACAAGCAGCAAGAGGAGUUUCCCUACGCACACAUAGCCAUGUCGAAAGACCACACGAUACUAGACGCUCCUCCGAGCUACAACGAAGCCGUGUUCGGGGCCCCCGGCGCUUCGAACGGCUUCCAGCCAUCCUCGCCGCCCGUCGACGAGUCCUACAACCACCAGCUUGCGCCCCCGCCGGCCCUGCCCCCAGCCCCCUACGUCAGCGUCAGGCCCGAGCCUUCGUUCCCCCCGGAUCUGAGCCCUCUGCUCGCGUGCCAGGUGCUGACGGUGGGCAGCAAGAUGGGUUAUCUCAGCUACAAGAUAAAGAACAUGGCUGGCCUACAUGUUUUCACGGCCAAGGGUAGCAUUGAGGGAGACAUUUGCAACUGCUGUGAUCCCAAUGCAAGAUGGGUAGAAUUCGAUAUCAGAAACCUUAACAAAGUUCCCUUGGCGAAUUUCAAGGUCGUCAUGGAUGAAAUGGGGUGCUUCUUUUUCCCAAAAAUGCAUUUGGAUGUUUCAUACGUCCCGGACAUCCAAAUCGGCCAGGUGAGGGUACGGGGGAAGUUAGCCUAUGAUAUCACUAACAACGGAGGGGAUAUCAUACUGACAGUCGAGGGUGACGUCGGAUGCUGCGAGAUUUUGCCGUAUAAGAUCUGCACUCCCAAUGGGACCCAGGUUGGCGCCAUCGAGCGGGUAGACAGAAUCAAAAACAGAAUAUUCUUCCCCAUUGAUAUGGACAUCCGAGUUAAAGUUCAGCUUCUGGCGACAACUGUCUUCAUCUAGGGUGGCCGAAGAGGACUCGAUAUGCUGCCAGACGCACGAGAUCUUCGCGACUAGCUGUUUACGCGGCGGUUUUCCGUUGAAAUAUGUGCAAUAUUUAGAUGAAAGAAGACGAAAGAAAUAACAAGAAGACGAUUCAGUGCUGGCUCUCGUCGUUCACACUCUUCCUAGCUUUCUGCUCUCCCUCCCUCUCUCUCUCUCUCUCUCUCUCUCUCUCUCUCUCUCUCUCUCUCUCUCUCUCUCUCUCUCUCUCUCUCUCUCUCGUUACACGUGACCGCCCCGAAGCCCAUGGUUGGAUUAAUGAACACAAACUCCUGGAAAACAGGCGGAAAGUUCCUGGCAACUCCCUUCUUCGACUCGACAAUCUUUGCUUCCAGAGGGGAUAAGUUCCAAAUGCCCGGACCUCUACCAUUCAAGAACCAGAGUUCAAGAGUUCACAUACAGACAUCGCUCUGUAAAUGCAAUGCCUCUGCCUGUGUGCACCUGUUCGAAUUAUACUUGCCCAAUAGUGUCUUCAUCCCAUCGCGUGAGACCUACUAGAUUGCCUGCAACAGUACCUGAUGUACUAGCAGUGACUAGCACCUUGAACAUUUUUUAUAACGCUCCGACUACGCAACUACCAUUCUUCUGCUCUUAUUUAACUCUCUUAGACAUGUUUAGAACCCCUUGGGAAGAUUUAAAGCAAACUAAUGAAAUAUACCCUUGGCUCUUCAGUCUCCAUAAGGAUAGCAUCCCUCCCUUGUUGAGAGAUUAUGUUCCUCAAGUGCCUUCAUUCUCUCUAUUAUGUUUCCCAUUCUUCUUAUGUUGUUUUAUGUAUUCUGAACUUUUCUCACUGUUAAUGGCGACACUCUCAUUGAUACAGUUUUCUUUAUAUUCAGAUAUUAAAUAUAUGUGUACCUUUAGCAGAUAUUGAUUCACAGCAGUAGAUGGGAGUGAAGUCAUUCUUUAUGUUCUUAACCAAUACUGAUCCGCCCGUGGAAGAAUGGACAGGUAGUAGACUGCAGUGUUUGUCAAGCUAAACCUGUUGGACGUUACAAGGACUGUUGCAUACUGUUCGUAUUUUCCUUCAGAAGAUAUUGAAUAAGGUAGUUAUCAGCGACUCUUAGUUUCAUCUCAGAAGUCUUGCUUCUCCCCAAUUCAACAAAUGGGUUAAUCAGCUUUAGCUCAAGGGAAAUCCCCAACACUGAACUACUUGGGGAUUACUUUUGAUAUCGGAAUAACAGCUAAUAGUGAUACUCUUCAUCAUCUCACUAAGACCGUGCUUAGGCUGGCACUACCUGAUGCGGGUACUUCUUCCUUGCUUUUCUACCACAGAACGACGAUAUACUCAGCCACGCUUCUGCCCAAACCAUCCCAGGAAUAACACAUGAGUUCAGUUUAUCCAUCUCAUACCACGAUCAUUUACUUUGUAUAACUCACAACUAUCACCUACACGAACUUAGUAUUCGUUUGACAUUUUGUAGUUAUUUUUGCACAGCUGAAUUUCGGGGACAGGCUAAUCUAUAAGGGUUUCAAGGCGGGGAUGUGCUUUGCUUCCGUAAAACAACAUGAUUGCCUUGAGUGUUCCUCUAUCAAAGAGAUUUUCAUUAAUUGGUGUUACCAACGGUCCUCUUCCAGGUCUGUCGUUCCUAGGGCGUAAUACAUUGGUCAAAAGUAAAUUCUCUCUCUCUCUCUCUCUCUCUCUCUCAUCCUUCUUUCUUGUAGGUAUAGACAUCUGUUUUAUGCUAUAUCUAGAUUAUUUUAGGUAUAUAUGUUAUAAAACUCGUUAAAAAAUAUACAGUAUAUAUCAAC